RNAcentral lists this long non-coding RNA (214 nucleotides) under Capsella rubella. Its description in RNAcentral is "long non-coding RNA (CRUB_LNC003606)". Lineage: Eukaryota; Viridiplantae; Streptophyta; Magnoliopsida; Brassicales; Brassicaceae. The record is from RNAcentral.
AACUUUUAUGUUUUGGUAACGCGCCGCGCGUGCAUGAUAAUUACGUGAGUGGGAAAGGAAUAAACAACAAAAAGGGAGAAGAAGAAGAGAAAAGCACAAACUCGGAACGCGUAAACUGUUGUUGUUGUUGCUGUCGUCGCAGUUAACGGGUUUGGUUUUGUGAUUCAUAACUCUACAUUUUCUCUAAUAUUUUUUUUGUUUUGUUACUCGUUUC